AGUCCUGUAUGGGACUGUGACACCCGUCACCACACUGAUCUCCAGCCUUGAGUCAGCUGAUCUGGCUGGCUAUGCACAUGUCCCCUUCCUCACCCAGCGCUCCAUAUGCUCCAUAUCCCUCCCAAAGCUGCUGGGGCACAGAGGGCAACCUCCCUGAUACAGACUGUACAUUUUAUCACUCAAGGCUAUUGGGCUGCUGCGCUCCCUGCCGCAACCUUCAAACCUGCCCAUGGUACUAGGGCUGCAUUU
This 249-nucleotide small RNA is filed under the name Cyanistes caeruleus (blue tit). RNAcentral describes it as "7SK RNA (ENSCCEG00000000543.1)". It matches the Rfam family "7SK RNA", at positions 1 to 257 of the family's 331-position model. Rfam says of the family: 7SK was discovered as an abundant small nuclear RNA in the mid-70s but a possible function has only recently been suggested. Two independent studies have found that 7SK RNA binds the CDK9/cyclin T complex (known as elongation factor P-TEFb). Lineage: Eukaryota; Metazoa; Chordata; Aves; Passeriformes; Paridae. The record is from Rfam by way of RNAcentral.